AGUGGCGGACGGGUGAGUAACGCGUGAGAAUCUGCCUUCAGGUCGGGGACAACAGUUGGAAACGACUGCUAAUACCCGAUGUGCAGCAAUGUGAAAGAUUUAUUGCCUGAAGAUGAGCUCGCGUCUGAUUAGCUAGUAGGUGUGGUAAUGGCGCACCUAGGCGACGAUCAGUAACUGGUCUGAGAGGAUGACCAGUCACACUGGGACUGAGACACGGCCCAGACUCCUACGGGAGGCAGUAGUGGGGAAUUUUCCGCAAUGGGCGAAAGCCUGACGGAGCAAUACCGCGUGAGGGACGACGGCUUUUGGGUUGUAAACCUCUUUUCCCUGGGAAGAAGAUCUGACGGUACCAGGGGAAUCAGCAUCGGCUAACUUCGUGCCAGCAGCCGCGGUAAUACGAGGGAUGCAAGCGUUAUCCGGAAUUAUUGGGCGUAAAGCGUCCGCAGGUGGCUCUGUAAGUCUGUCGUUAAAGAAUGGAGCUUAACUCCAUACAGGCGAUGGAAACUACAAGGCUAGAGUUUGGUAGGGGUCACGGGAAUUCUUAGUGUAGCGGUGAAAUGCGUAGAUAUUAAGAAGAACACCAGCGGCGAAAGCGCGUGACUGGGCCAGUACUGACACUCAUGGACGAAAGCUAGGGGAGCGAAAGGGAUUAGAUACCCCUGUAGUCCUAGCCGUAAACGAUGAUAACUAGGUGUUGCUC
This 700-nucleotide ribosomal RNA is filed under the name uncultured bacterium. RNAcentral describes it as "bacterial SSU rRNA". It matches the Rfam family "Bacterial small subunit ribosomal RNA", at positions 94 to 828 of the family's 1533-position model. The record is from RNAcentral.